Molecule: ribosomal RNA, 305 nt
Filed under: Priestia aryabhattai
Lineage: Bacteria; Bacillati; Bacillota; Bacilli; Caryophanales; Bacillaceae
Description: bacterial SSU rRNA
Rfam family: Bacterial small subunit ribosomal RNA
Source: RNAcentral
GGCGUAAGCGCGCGCAGGCGGUUUCUUAAGUCUGAUGUGAAAGCCCACGGCUCAACCGUGGAGGGGCAUUGGAAACUGGGGAACUUGAGUGCGGAAGAGAAAGGCGGAAUUCCACGUGUAGCGGUGAAAUGCGUAGAGAUGUGGAGGAACACCAGUGGCGAAGGCGGCCUUUUGGUCUGUAACUGACGCUGAGGCGCGAAAGCGUGGGGAGCAAACAGGAUUAGAUACCCUGGUAGUCCACGCCGUAAACGAUGACUGCUAAGUGUUAGAAGCCUUCCGCCCUUUAGGGCUGCACCUAACGCAUU